Molecule: ribosomal RNA, 254 nt
Filed under: uncultured bacterium
Lineage: Bacteria
Description: partial 16S ribosomal RNA
Rfam family: Bacterial small subunit ribosomal RNA
Source: RNAcentral
UACGAAGGGGGGCUAGCGUUGUUCGGAAUUACUGGGCGUAAAGCGCGUGUAGGCGGGUCUUUAAGUCAGGGGUGAAAUGCCAAGGCUCAACCUUGGAACUGCCUUUGAUACUGGAGAUCUUGAGUCCGGGAGAGGUGAGUGGAAUUGCGAGUGUAGAGGUGAAAUUCGUAGAUAUUCGCAAGAACACCAGUGGCGAAGGCGGCUCACUGGCCCGGAACUGACGCUGAGACGCGAAAGCGUGGGGAGCAAACAGG